GUCAGUCCCCUCGAAGCCCGGUUGCCGUGGAAGCCGCGUGGGGCGCCUUCCUCAGCUCUUCAGUUGAGGGUACCGGGGGAUCAAGGGCUCGGGGGCCCACUUCCACCUUGAAGCCAUUCCUUUUAUUUGGAGAGGGAAAUACUUCAGCUCCGGGAAUGAGCCUGCAGAAAACCCGGUGACGCCGAUGCUGCGGCAUCUUAUGUACAAAAUAAAGUCUACUGGUCCCAUCACUGUGGCCGAGUACAUGAAGGAGGUGUUGACUAAUCCAGCCAAGGGUUAUUAUGUGUACCGUGACAUGCUAGGCGAAAAAGGAGAUUUCAUUACUUCACCUGAAAUAAGUCAAAUCUUUGGGGAGCUACUAGGUAUAUGGUUCAUUAGUGAAUGGAUGGCCACUGGAAAAAGCACAGCUUUCCAGCUGGUGGAACUGGGCCCAGGUAGGGGAACCCUCGUGGGAGAUAUUUUGAGGGUGUUCACUCAACUUGGAUCUGUGCUGAAAAAUUGUGACAUUUCAGUACAUCUGGUAGAGGUAAGCCAAAAAUUAAGUGAGAUUCAAGCAUUGACACUGACUGAAGAGAAGGUCCCAUUAGAGCGAAAUGCUGGAUCCCCAGUGUAUAUGAAAGGUGUCACUAAGUCUGGGAUUCCAAUUUCCUGGUACCGAGAUCUGCAUGAUGUUCCAAAAGGUAAUUACCUUUAUGUGGAUUAAUGAAAGAAUUUUGAUCACAACCCUCACAGUAUUGAUGGGACUGUAACUUUUUACAGCAAUAUAAUAGAUUGAGUUACUGCUUGCCAAGUCCCUUAUCCAUAGAGAGUAGCCUACUUUUUUCUAGAAAAGAGCAUCUUAAUAGA
This 846-nucleotide small RNA is filed under the name Pan troglodytes (chimpanzee). RNAcentral's name for it is "retained intron". The record is from RNAcentral. Lineage: Eukaryota; Metazoa; Chordata; Mammalia; Primates; Hominidae.